This 557-nucleotide ribosomal RNA is filed under the name Pseudomerulius aureus. Its description in RNAcentral is "SSU rRNA". It matches the Rfam family "Bacterial small subunit ribosomal RNA", at positions 357 to 955 of the family's 1533-position model. The record is from RNAcentral. Lineage: Eukaryota; Fungi; Basidiomycota; Agaricomycetes; Boletales; Tapinellaceae.
AAGAAUAUUAGUCAAUGCUCGCAAGAGUGAACUAGCUAAUUGAAAUCAUACAAUGUUAGUCAGGUGUGAAAAGUAUAAGGAAAAUAAUGAUAUUACUUAUAUUUUAAGUGUUGUCCAAAACUGGUGCCAGAAGACUCGGUAAGACCAGAAACGCAAACGUUAAUCAUCAUAAACAGGCGUAAAGGGUAUGUAGGCUGCUUUAAACUAAUUAUAGUUAAUAACCGGACAUAAUUACAAUUAAAGCUAGAAUCUAAAAGGGGAUAAGCCAAAGAAUAGAUAGUGUAGGGCUGAUAUCCUUAAAUACUAUUUAGAAUACUAAAGGUGAAAACUUUUAUCUAAUAAAGAUUGACGCUGAGAUACGAAAGGGAGGAUAGGAAACAGGAUUAGAUACCCCAGUACCCCUCCCCGUCAACGAUGAAUGGUAGCUAUUAAUACUAUGAUUAAUAGCGAUGUUAACACGAUAACCAUUCCGCCUUGUGAGUACAACUUCACAGUUGAAAACAAAAAAAUUAGUCGGUUUCGAAGCAAACGGAGUGAAGCAUGUUAUUUAAUUCGAU